GGGCCCGCACAAGCGGUGGAGUAUGUGGUUUAAUUCGAUGCAACGCGAAGAACCUUACCAGGGUUUGACAUCCUGCGAACCUCUUAGAAAUUUGAGGGUGCCUUCGGGAAUGCAGUGACAGGUGGUGCAUGGCUGUCGUCAGCUCGUGUCGUGAGAUGUUGGGUUAAGUCCCGCAACGAGCGCAACCCACGUUUUUAGUUGCCAGCAUUUAGUUGGGCACUCUAGAGAGACCGCCGGUGAUAAACCGGAGGAAGGUGUGGAUGACGUCAAGUCAUCAUGCCCCUUACAUCCUGGGCUACACACGUACUACAAUGGUAGGUACAGAGGGCAGCUACACAGCGAUGUGAUGCGAAUCUCAAAAAGCCUAUCGUAGUCCAGAUUGGAGUCUGCAACUCGACUCCAUGAAGUAGGAAUCGCUAGUAAUCG
RNAcentral lists this ribosomal RNA (426 nucleotides) under uncultured bacterium. Its description in RNAcentral is "bacterial SSU rRNA". It matches the Rfam family "Bacterial small subunit ribosomal RNA", at positions 917 to 1344 of the family's 1533-position model. The record is from RNAcentral.